RNAcentral lists this transfer-messenger RNA (367 nucleotides) under Sphingobacterium hungaricum. RNAcentral's name for it is "Standard tmRNA". It matches the Rfam family "transfer-messenger RNA". Rfam says of the family: Bacterial tmRNA, also known as 10Sa RNA or SsrA, is named for its dual tRNA and mRNA-like properties. Its role is to liberate the mRNA from a stalled ribosome. To accomplish this part of the tmRNA is used as a reading frame that ends in a translation stop signal. The record is from Rfam by way of RNAcentral. Lineage: Bacteria; Pseudomonadati; Bacteroidota; Sphingobacteriia; Sphingobacteriales; Sphingobacteriaceae.
GGGGUCGACCGGAAUUGACAGGAUGGCGACGGUUAUGUAAGCAUGCAGUGUGUUGUUAGAAGUACACUUUAAUCAGAACUUUCAACUUUAUAACUGGCGAAGAAAACUACGCCUUAGCUGCUUAAGUUAGACUUAACAUAGCUAUUUGUCCCGUUAGCUGCUGUUCUUUCAGUUAACAUUCGGGGCAUCGAAUUAUAGAACUGGCGGGUGUGAGGUUACUAAGCAUCCGCGAGACACAGUGACUAAGGCAAAAGGAUUGGUAAUUUUCUCACCUUCCCUAGCCCGACAAUCAAAGAGAAAAUAAGCAUGUAGAAAGCGUAUACAGUACCAUGUUUGGACGAGGGUUCGAAUCCCUCCGGCUCCACAA